GACAGAGGGUGCAAACGUUGUUCGGAAUUACUGGGCGUAAAGCGCGUGUAGGCUGCUCCGCAAGUCGGAUGUGAAAGCCCUGGGCUCAACCUAGGAAGUGCAUUCGAUACUGCGGAGCUGGAGUCCUGGAGAGGAAGGCGGAAUUCUCGGUGUAGAGGUGAAAUUCGUAGAUAUCGAGAGGAACACCGGUGGCGAAGGCGGCCUUCUGGACAGUGACUGACGCUGAGGCACGAAAGCGUGGGGAGCAAACAGG
RNAcentral lists this ribosomal RNA (253 nucleotides) under uncultured bacterium. Its description in RNAcentral is "partial 16S ribosomal RNA". It matches the Rfam family "Bacterial small subunit ribosomal RNA", at positions 524 to 776 of the family's 1533-position model. The record is from RNAcentral.